AACGAACGCUGGCGGCGCGCCUAAUACAUGCAAGUCGAGCGAGAAGACGUAGCAAUACGUUUGUAAAGCGGCGAACGGGUGAGGAAUACAUGGGUAACCUACCCUCGAGUGGGGAAUAACUAGCCGAAAGGUUAGCUAAUACCGCGUACGCUCCUUGGACUUCGGUUCAGGGAGGAAAGCGAUACCGUGGGUAUCGCGCUCUUGGAUGGGCUCAUGUCCUAUCAGCUUGUUGGNGAGGUAACGGCUCACCAAGGCUUCGACGGGUAGCUGGUCUGAGAGGACGAUCAGCCACACUGGCACUGCGACACGGGCCAGACUCCUACGGGAGGCAGCAGUAAGGAUAUUGCGCAAUGGGCGAAAGCCUGACGCAGCGACGCC
Molecule: ribosomal RNA, 378 nt
Filed under: uncultured bacterium
Lineage: Bacteria
Description: bacterial SSU rRNA
Rfam family: Bacterial small subunit ribosomal RNA
Source: RNAcentral